UGUCUGGCAAAUUUCCAACAUAUAUUAUCAACUACUAUUCUAUACAAAGAAAGAUAACUCCAAUUGAAAAUUAAUUGCUAUUGCACAAUAUUGUGCUAUUAGAUAUUUCUUGCUAUUGUGCAAUACUGUGCAAUUGAAAAUUUCUUGCUAUUGCACAAUACUUGAUAUGGAAUCCUGAUUUGGACCAACUUGAAAAAUGGGCCCAUAAUCAAAAAUCAAAGUACAUGUUUAGAUAAAGCAUAUCAAAUAAGCCCAAUAAUUUAAUUUUUGUUAAAAUCAAACUUAGUUUAAUUUUUGACCCUAUGGACCUUAAUGUAGACCAAUUUGAAAAAUGGACCAAAAAUUAAGA
Molecule: long non-coding RNA, 349 nt
Filed under: Mytilus galloprovincialis (Mediterranean mussel)
Lineage: Eukaryota; Metazoa; Mollusca; Bivalvia; Mytilida; Mytilidae
Source: RNAcentral